This 58-nucleotide transfer RNA is filed under the name Culex quinquefasciatus (southern house mosquito). It matches the Rfam family "tRNA", at positions 8 to 63 of the family's 71-position model. From Rfam's summary of the family: Transfer RNA (tRNA) molecules are approximately 80 nucleotides in length. Their secondary structure includes four short double-helical elements and three loops (D, anti-codon, and T loops). The record is from Rfam by way of RNAcentral. Lineage: Eukaryota; Metazoa; Arthropoda; Insecta; Diptera; Culicidae.
UGGCUUAAUGGUUACGGCUUCUGCCUCAUAAGCAGAAGGUUCAGGGAUCAAAUCCCGG